Molecule: transfer RNA, 77 nt
Filed under: Lentisphaeria bacterium
Lineage: Bacteria; Pseudomonadati; Lentisphaerota; Lentisphaeria
Also listed under: 1 other name
Description: tRNA-Ala
Rfam family: tRNA
About the family: Transfer RNA (tRNA) molecules are approximately 80 nucleotides in length. Their secondary structure includes four short double-helical elements and three loops (D, anti-codon, and T loops).
Source: RNAcentral
GGGGCAUUAGCUCAGUUGGCUAGAGCGCAACACUGGCAGUGUUGAGGUCAUCGGUUCGACCCCGAUAUGCUCCACCA